This 1362-nucleotide ribosomal RNA is filed under the name uncultured prokaryote. RNAcentral's name for it is "partial 16S ribosomal RNA". It matches the Rfam family "Bacterial small subunit ribosomal RNA", at positions 29 to 1400 of the family's 1533-position model. The record is from RNAcentral.
ACGAACGCUGGCGGCGUGCCUAACACAUGCAAGUCGAACGAGAAAACUCUCUUCGGAGAGUCGGUAAAGUGGCGCAAGGGUGAGUAACACGUGAAUAAUCUGCCCUCAAGACUGGGAUAACUUGGCGAAAGUUGAGCUAAUACCAGAUAAGACCACGUUUCACAAGAAAUGCGGUCAAAGGGGUCUCAAUCCCCGUUUGAGGAUGAGUUCGCGGACCAUUAGCUUGUUGGUGAGAUAAAAGCUCACCAAGGCUUCGAUGGUUAGCCGGCCUGAGAGGGCGAUCGGCCACACUGGAACUGAGACACGGUCCAGACUCCUACGGGAGGCAGCAGUGGGGAAUAUUGCGCAAUGGGCGAAAGCCUGACGCAGCAACGCCGCGUGAGGGAUGAAGGUUUUAGGAUCGUAAACCUCUGUCGGAUGGGAAGAAUUAUGACGGUACCAUCAGAGGAAGCCCCGGCUAACUCCGUGCCAGCAGCCGCGGUAAUACGGAGGGGGCAAGCGUUGUUCGGAAUUAUUGGGCGUAAAGCGUAUGUAGGCGGUUGGACAAGUCAGACGUGUAAGCCCGUGGCUCAACCACGGAAUUGCGUUUGAAACUGUUUAACUUGAGUGCAGGAGAGGAAAGCGGAAUUCCCAGUGUAGCGGUGAAAUGCAUUGAUAUUGGGAAGAACAUCGGUGGCGAAGGCGGCUUUCUGGCCUGAAACUGACGCUCAGAUACGAAAGCCAGGGGAGCGAACGGGAUUAGAUACCCUGGUAGUCCACGCCGUAAACGAUGUGUGCUAGAUGUCGGGCAGCUUGCUGUUCGGUGUCGCAGCUAACGCAUUAAGCACACCGCCUGGGGAGUACGACCGCAAGGUUAAAACUCAAAGGAAUUGACGGGGGCCCGCACAAGCGGUGGAGCAUGUGGUUUAAUUCGAUGCAACGCGAAGAACCUUACCAGCCCUUGACAUCCCGGUCGCGGUUUCCAGAGAUGGAUACCUUCAGUUCGGCUGGACCGGUGACAGGUGCUGCAUGGCUGUCGUCAGCUCGUGUCGUGAGAUGUUGGGUUAAGUCCCGCAACGAGCGCAACCCUCAUCCUUAGUUGCCAGCGGUUCGGCCGGGCACUCUAGGGAAACUGCCGGUGACAAGCCGGAGGAAGGCGGGGAUGACGUCAAGUCCUCAUGGCCCUUAUGGGCUGGGCUACACACGUGCUACAAUGGCGGUGACAGCGGGCAGCGAAGGGGCAACCUGGAGCUAAUCCCCAAAAGCCGUCUCAGUUCGGAUUGUCCUCUGCAACUCGAGGGCAUGAAGGUGGAAUCGCUAGUAAUCGUGGAUCAGCAUGCCACGGUGAAUACGUUCCCGGGCCUUGUACACACCGCCCGUCAC